UCUUGACUACUGGGUAAGCCAAGAAGCAGCAGUGACCUGAGGGUCAGUUUUGAUGUCUUUGAAACCCUGGAGGAUGGCCGAACCAUUCCAGGAGGGAGUUCUUAAAGAACUUUGAUUGUUGGACCUUUUACCAUUAACCUAAGGUUCCAGCAGCAGCCAGCCAGAUACUUCCAGCAAAAUGACAAGCAAGCAUGAAGAGCCUUCCACCCAUUCUUUGACCUCAGCACCUGAUGGGCACUCUGCCUCUGACUAUGGAAUUUCCACUCAGCUAUUAAAGACUAUUAGAUGUUGAAA
Heteronotia binoei (common prickly gecko) is the source of this 294-nucleotide long non-coding RNA. RefSeq lists it as uncharacterized. The transcript is spliced from 2 exons. Lineage: Eukaryota; Metazoa; Chordata; Lepidosauria; Squamata; Gekkonidae. The record is from RefSeq and is a predicted model, not a curated record.